Molecule: long non-coding RNA, 1863 nt
Filed under: Pan troglodytes (chimpanzee)
Lineage: Eukaryota; Metazoa; Chordata; Mammalia; Primates; Hominidae
Description: long non-coding RNA NONPTRT002733
Source: RNAcentral
GCCACCUUUCCAGCCUCUCCUCCCAGCAGAGGAUCCCAGUGCCCUCCUGGCCUGAAGGCCCUGCAGGCCUGGCCCUCCCAACUUCCUCUCUGCCCUUGUCCCCUGUCGUCCCUCUAGUUGGCCUGGCCCUCCCAACUUCCUCUCUGCCCUUGUCCCCCGUCGUCCCCCUAGUUGGCCUGGCCCUCCCAACCUCCUCUCUGCCCUUGUCCCCCGUCGUCCCCCUAGUUGGAGGGUGCCCCAGCCUGGCUGACCUCAGUUCUUGUCCCCAGCACACACAACUCUUCCCAGCCUCAAGGCCUUCACCUGGCUGUGCCGCUGCCUGCAAUGUUCCUCCCCAGUCUUGUCAGGGCUGGCUCCUGGGGAGAAGAUCUCUGCUCAGAUGUCACUUCCCCGGAAGGGCCUUCCACGGCCACCCACGUCGUGUCUCCCCACGCCUGCCCCCACACUCGCUAGCCCGCCAUCCCCUCUUCCUGCUUCCGUCCUCCACAGCAGUCAUCACCAUCUGAUAUUCCUGUGUAUGCAUCGGUUUGCCUUUCUGGCUCCUGGUUUUGCUCUGCCUCCCCGCUGGAAGACGUGAGGCCCGGAGUGUACAGCCAACGGUUGUCACACACAGUAUCCCCCCAAGAGAAACCUGCAGCCCAGAAGCUCGGCUGCAGUACAGAGACCCCCAACCUGGCAGAGGCCUUGACACAAAACAGUUUUGCACCAAAUGAUGCAUACGUGAAGGCACAAUGAAGUGAACAGCAAGCGUUCAAGGAAAAGGCCUUGCAUGGCAUAACAAAAUUCUGGAACAUCUUUUAUUCCAACCACAGGGUUUCGCAGGAAAGCGUCAGGAUUUCCUAUAAAGAUAACUGAGCCUCACAGUCGGCCCAGGAGUGCAGGGGUGCCAACCUAUGUCCCAGCUCCACGGUCUUGGGACCUCAAGUCACCUUCAGCCCCUCAGGCCAGAGGACAGGAGGACCAGGACCUGUCCUUCUCUAUCAGAAGCUGCAUCAUAUCUAGGGAGAAAAUACAUAAUCGGGACAGGGGCUCAGAGGAAGCCAUAAGGGUCAGCCUUGUCUCCCUGGAGUGGCACAAGCUCAGACUGAAGCCGCCCGCCUCUGCGAGAUGGAAGUUCCUUAUUCUCAGGAAGUAUGCUGGUGAAAGGAAAUUGCCAGGCAAUCUGGAACUUUUACUCUUUCAAGCCCCAGGAAGAAGAAUUGAACCAGUGGCAGGCAGCUAGGUGCUCUGUUUGGCAGUGGGCAGGUGCUGUCCCGCUGCGGGGAGUCCGACCCUGUCCCCGUCAGCAGGGUUUCCGAUACCAAUGCACCCACCAUCCUGGGGAGGAAGGCUGAACCUCCUGCAGAGUCACUGGGGAGGAAGCAGCUGUUUAAGAUUUCGUCUACACUUCUUCCCACACCUCAUGAGAAAGGACCCAGGAGGGUGCGUCCGUCCGUGUGAAUGCACUUGCAGAUGGCUGUAAUCACCCUAACAGCACGACUUAACAUUUGUAAAGAGCUUAGCACGGUGCUGGCUCGUAGUAAGCACUGCGCAGCUGCUUGUUAAAUAAAUAAACAUAAAUGGGGAACAUCUAUAGUGUGCCAAGGAUGGGAAGGAGAGUAAAGAGUGCAGAAAUGAAGGCCAAAAAACUGAGGAUGGUGGGCAGAAGGGAACGUGAGUGGCUGGAGUCGAGGAUGGAAGGAGCAGAGGUGAGGGAUGCCGUCUGAGCUGGACCAGAAAGGCUUCCAGGAGGAGGUGGCCUGGCCAGGCUCUCAGCUACCCCAGGUGAGCUUUAAAGCUCUUGGGAUUCUCAGAAGGCAGGCCGUGGGUUCACAAAACACAUUAAGAAUCUGAAAACCCUCCUAUGGAAACUGGAUGUCCAUG